Molecule: long non-coding RNA, 535 nt
Organism: Gallus gallus (chicken)
Lineage: Eukaryota; Metazoa; Chordata; Aves; Galliformes; Phasianidae
Exons: 2
Source: RefSeq, a predicted model, not a curated record
ACAGGGAGGGAGGACGUCGUCAUGGCGCCGUGGGUUCGUGGUGUCGCUCGGCCGCCAGCGUGGGCCUGCUGAGUGCACAGGGCUGCGGCUGGGCCAGGGCGAAACCGCACUGCUACUCGGGCUGGGCGGAGAGCGGGGAGAGCAGCCCUGUGAUGUGGGGCUCAGCACGAGCCAGCAGAGGCGCAGCAAAUAAAGGAAGGUGGAGAGGAAGACUCUCCCUGUUGCUCGCUGGGUUGAUGGCUCAGCCCAGCAAGGGGUCAGCGUGAAUUAUGCUUCCUGGCCACAAGGAAUUAUGCUUCCAAGACCACAAGGCUCUGCUGUCAAAGGGAUAUCCGCCAAGCAGCGUGGGACAGCUGGGCUCCAUGCGAGCCACAGGGGGGCCCAAAGCAGAAGGCGGGACUGGAUGAUGGCUUUGGGAAUCCCCAGGGAGUCCACCCCCUUUUGGUGACAGCGAUGAGAUACAUCCUGCUGCUCUUCUCUUUGUGUAGGAGAAAUGACAACAGAGUGGGAGGAAACUUCCUGAGCGCUCUGGGAA